GCGGACGGGUGAGUAACACGUGGGUAACCUGCCCCCAAGUGGGGGAUAACAUUUGGAAACAGAUGCUAAUACCGCAUAGAUCCAAGAACCGCAUGGUUCUUGGCUGAAAGAUGGCGUAAGCUAUCGCUUUUGGAUGGACCCGCGGCGUAUUAGCUAGUUGGUGAGGUAAUGGCUCACCAAGGCGAUGAUACGUAGCCGAACUGAGAGGUUGAUCGGCCACAUUGGGACUGAGACACGGCCCAAACUCCUACGGGAGGCAGCAGUAGGGAAUCUUCCACAAUGGACGCAAGUCUGAUGGAGCAACGCCGCGUGAGUGAAGAAGGCUUUCGGGUCGUAAAACUCUGUUGUUGGAGAAGAAUGGUCGGCAGAGUAACUGUUGUCGGCGUGACGGUAUCCAACCACAAAGCCACGGCUAACUACGUGCCAGCAGCCGCGGUAAUACGCAGGUGGCAAGCGUUAUCCGGAUUUAUUGGGCGUAAAGCGAGCGCAAGCGGUUUUUUAAGUCUGAUGUGAAAGCCCUCGGCUUAACCGAGGAAGCGCAUCGGAAACUGCCAAACUUGAGUGCAGAACACGACAGUGGAACUCCAUGUGUA
RNAcentral lists this ribosomal RNA (593 nucleotides) under uncultured bacterium. Its description in RNAcentral is "bacterial SSU rRNA". It matches the Rfam family "Bacterial small subunit ribosomal RNA", at positions 98 to 677 of the family's 1533-position model. The record is from RNAcentral.